This is a non-coding RNA of Agelaius phoeniceus (red-winged blackbird), 1275 nucleotides long. NCBI's taxonomy places the organism in Eukaryota, Metazoa, Chordata, Aves, Passeriformes, Icteridae. The record is from RefSeq and is a predicted model, not a curated record.
ACUGUUUGCUUUGUUGCUACAAGAGAUGAACAUCCUGGGGCCUGGCCUGGGACAGGGGGUUACAAACCAGAUCAAGUUCAGCUCCUUUUCCACACUACCGAUGGGAAGGUUCAUGUUCAUCAUACACCUGACUGCUUCUCAAUAUUUAAUUGCCUUAUGUUGUUUAAUUCCAAAAAAAACACAGACACUUUUUUUGUUGUUGUUGUUGCUGUAAGAGAACAUUGCCUGCUUGUGAAGGAGGAAAACACAAAAACAUUAGAUGUCUUUUUGCAAACAUCACUUCAUCUGAAAGGUUUCAAGGCCUGGGUUUAUUUCUUAAGGAAAGCGUUGAAAACAAAAGAGAAGGGGAAAAGUGUGACAAAAGGAACCAAUGAACCUAGGGGUGAAGAUUGAUUGGUUUCAGAACAUAAGCUGCCCAGUGUGGUGAAGGGGAAGCAAUUCUUGAAAAAUUUCAAGAUAACUGGUUAACUGUGAAUGGGCCUAAUCUUUCGUGAAACCAAGAAAAAUUUUUGGACACACACAGGACUUGAAUACUCAAAAGGAUUGGAACUUAGUGUUGUGCCAAAGUUAAACUACUGCAGUUGGCAGUUCUGCACUGUAAAUAGAAGACUGAUUAAAAGACAGCUUGUAAUUAAAAAAAAAAUCAAAUUUUAAUACAGUACGUUUUUAUUCUGAUACAUGAUGGAAACAUUCUGUUUUAAACCUUUUUUGAAGAGGCUUCAGUGACCACUAGAUUUUGUCCUCUUAUAUUUUGUUUGGCCUAAUACUAUAUGUUUUAGUAAGAUGGGCUCUAUUGCCUGUGUUCUUUGAUAUGUGAUUAAGCUUAUAGCUUUGAGUGACCAAACAUUUUACAGAGUAAAAGUUCUUAGAAACAGUAUAAUGUAACUGAUAUUUCUGUGUCUUAUUUAUCAGGCUCUGCACAAACUUGGAAAGUUGUGCUGGACUUGUACAACUCGUAUAUGGGAACGCAGCAUACUUCUGGAUAUUACAAACCUAAGCCUUUGUGGCUGUAUGGAUCUUGUCUUUGGAUUUAUUUUUGUUAUUUUUUUGAGGCAAAGAAACGAAUGGAUGCUGCUGUAAAAUAUUUGUAAUACUGCCAUUAUUUCUUUCUGUAGCAAUUAUUGCUUUUGCUUCAACAGAUAAAGAAAAUAAAUCAGAGAUAGAAAAAUCCUAAAGACGCUGGUAGAAGAAAGGAUCAUGUGAGAACUUCUGAAAAUAAACUUUGUACCAAAAACUUGAAAACAGAAAUAAUGGAAUAAAUGUCUCCUUACUGAG